This is a non-coding RNA of Desulfosporosinus sp. I2, 257 nucleotides long. NCBI's taxonomy places the organism in Bacteria, Bacillati, Bacillota, Clostridia, Eubacteriales, Desulfitobacteriaceae. The record is from Rfam.
AAAGUCCUUGCUGGGUAAGGUCUAGCCAACCACCCAUAUCGAGUGUUGCGUCGAAACUGGUAACAGUAAGGCGAAGCGUACACAGAGAACUAUAUAGGCCACGGGGAGAACCGUAACUCCUGAAGCAUAUUCAGCCCCGUUAGCGCGUGUCCGAAAGGACAAAGAGCAGAUGGCAACGUGUUUAACGUCACGGAAGCCCAAGCAAAGAAACCGAUCUAUUGGCAAGGUUUCGGAGGGUCUGUCGGGGUCAGAGAACG